This 273-nucleotide ribosomal RNA is filed under the name uncultured bacterium. Its description in RNAcentral is "partial 16S ribosomal RNA". It matches the Rfam family "Bacterial small subunit ribosomal RNA", at positions 524 to 796 of the family's 1533-position model. The record is from RNAcentral.
UACAGAGGGUGCGAGCGUUGUUCGGAAUUAUUGGGCGUAAAGCGAGUGUAGGCGGGAUCGUAUGUCGGGCGUGAAAGCCCUCAGCUCAACUGAGGAAGUGCGCACGAAACUGCGGUUCUUGAGUGUCGGAGAGGGUGACGGAAUUCCCGGUGUAGAGGUGAAAUUCGUAGAUAUCGGGAGGAACACCAGUGGCGAAGGCGGUCACCUGGACGAACACUGACGCUGAGACUCGAAAGCGUGGGUAGCAAACAGGAUUAGAAACCCCCGUAGUCC